GGACAAUGGGGGAGAUGGAAACAACCGCUCCUGCGGCACCCACGACACAUACCACGCCCAAUCUCCCCCAACCCCCUCGCCCCCACUUCCACAUCUCAGCCGAGAAAAAUCGCCGCCCCAAGCCCCCAACACUCCUGCCGUGAUUGGGGUCUCCGGUGUAGGAGGAGCCGCGGCCCGUGGCGACUCUUCUCCCCUGCACCCCGAGCUCCGAUGGCCUAACUCUGGGAGCCGAAGUAGUCAAGGCGUGGUGGUCUCAAGCACAGAGACGCCGAUCCUGAUAGCGCCCUGGCCACGACGCCGACGGCACGCCUUCAUGGCGGUCAUGCACAUGAGCGAUAGGAGAGGGUGGCACUAACUAUGGUUGCGGCACCGAUGAGUUCGCAGGACGAGCCCUGCGCGGCAUCGGCAAGACCGGUAUAGGUUGCCGCACCAGCGAGCUCUGUGGUACAUGCGACCAUGCCGGCGCAGUUCCUCAAGAUUGGAUGUCUGCACUCGCUGGUGAUAACAGCCAUCUUGGACGCCUUCUUCGAGGACCUCGGCUUGCUUAAGGCGAUGAUUGAUCGUCCAACUUACUCUGGUUGUGGCAUAGCAUGCACACUAGGUGUUUGUUCAUUUGUUUGUGCUGCCUUUGAUAGGUUCCCUGCCUAUCGAUUUUUUUUCUCUGCCAAGAAGUGCAUAUUGUUGAUUGUUCCUUCCUAAGUCUCUCGUACUAGCAUUUGUUUCUCUGUCAAGUUGUUAGCUUUGAGAUGCACUGUGCAGAUACAUAUACUUCUCUUUUUUUAUUGAAAGGAUACAUAUACCCCUACUUGUCUUUGUAACUGUAGCCCCGUCUAUCAGGUGAUUCUUUGACUUGUUGAGUUAA
Long non-coding RNA from Triticum dicoccoides, 862 nucleotides. RefSeq lists it as uncharacterized. The transcript is spliced from 2 exons. Lineage: Eukaryota; Viridiplantae; Streptophyta; Magnoliopsida; Poales; Poaceae. The record is from RefSeq and is a predicted model, not a curated record.